GGAGGAUACGAUGCUUUGGUAGCCCUCAGGGAGGGCCAUCCAAUCUGGAUGCAUGCAAUUAACCUACAUGGCAGGUACUGAGUUAUGUAUAUUUAUGAGGCGGAAUCUGCCCCAGAGGUUAUACCAGAGAGAAAAUCUAGAUGCAUGCAUUCGUGUCCUUCAGUUCUUGGUGGGGCAGGUUAUACCAGAGAGAGAAUCUAGAUGCAUGCAUUCGUGUCCUUCAGUUCUUGGUGGGGCUGGCGUGGUGCAUUUGUGAUUUAACACCACUCCUAUGAUUUGCAACAACCGGCACGUGGGCUGACCUUGUGUGCCUAGUUGAUCUAGUUGAUGGAUGCCUUAUUGGAUCAAUCCACACUAUAGGGUGGCAACGAGUCGGGUCGGAUUUGGAUUUGGAUUUGGAUUUGGAUAGAGACAGAUAUGGAUGAUAAUAUUAAAAAUCUUGGUCCAUAUCCAACCUGAACUAAUAAUGGGUCAAGAUGCCAUGAUGUAUGCUUGCCCGCAAGUUUGGAGCCACCAUCGGAAAUGAUUUAUUUGACCCUAAUCUAAUUAUUUUGUAAGGCUCUAUCUUUGAUCAACUC
This 578-nucleotide long non-coding RNA is filed under the name Elaeis guineensis (African oil palm). RNAcentral's name for it is "long non-coding RNA (EGUI_LNC024832)". The record is from RNAcentral. Lineage: Eukaryota; Viridiplantae; Streptophyta; Magnoliopsida; Arecales; Arecaceae.